Molecule: transfer RNA, 79 nt
Filed under: Limnobacter litoralis
Lineage: Bacteria; Pseudomonadati; Pseudomonadota; Betaproteobacteria; Burkholderiales; Burkholderiaceae
Description: tRNA-Val
Source: RNAcentral
CAAGUGGAUGUCGGAGUGGUCGCUGGCCGUGCCGUUGACAACGGCGCCGUAGAUGAUGGGUUCAAAUUCCGGUAUUUGU